UAAAGGCAGUAACUCUAUCUGGAAUUGAGGAAUGCGAAAAUAGGGUUCGUGAGAAAAAGUUGAAGGAGGCGGAGCCGACGGAGGAGUUGAAGUUCGCCUUGGAGGAUCUUCCGGCAAGCUGGUUCUCGAGGUCAGCGAGUGUUCUGAGAUGUUGUUGCGGAAGAGCAUGAUGAAGGAGACGUGCUUGGAGGCGAGGAGGUUGAGGUAGAAGGUCUUGAGGAGUGCGUGGCAGGGCUCGGUGGUGUCCUGGAAGACGCAGACGCGGUAGCCGCCGGCGAAGGAGGUGGAAGGCAUGAAAUAACAAUGUUACGCGGGCGUCGGGCCUUGCAGCAAACAAAACCCAACCACGGAACGAAUCGCCCCCCCCUCAAGAGAAACGAGGCUCAUCUCCAAUCUCUCUUCCCGUCGCCGCAAGCCAUAUGAUCUUCCUCUGUCGAGUUCACGACGGCGGACGACGAGGCAAAGGCAAGGCGUUCACGCUGACGACAUUGACACUUUGUCCUUCCCCUUGUUAGGUGUUUAGGUUUUCUUCCUUUUAAGAUUCUGGAAAAGUUUUUGGAGGUGGAAGGUUUUCAUGCCUAGAGAGUAUACCAGGAAACACCCAAAAUGGUUGGGUUUCUGCAAAUUUGCAGGGCUGCCAUAGAGGCGGAUUUGGUUACCGGGAUAGCAUUUCCAGAGCAAUGUUUUGUGUGAGAGUUGUUUUUUGACCUUUCCAUGUAU
Molecule: long non-coding RNA, 720 nt
Organism: Vigna umbellata (rice bean)
Lineage: Eukaryota; Viridiplantae; Streptophyta; Magnoliopsida; Fabales; Fabaceae
Source: RefSeq, a predicted model, not a curated record